GAUGAACGCUGGCGGCGUGCCUAAUACAUGCCAGUCGAGCGAACAGACGAGGAGCUUGCUCCUUCGACGUUAGCGGCGGACGGGUGAGUAACACGUAGGUAACCUACCUAUAAGACUGGGAUAACUUCGGGAAACCGGAGCUAAUACCGGAUAAUAUUUCGAACCGCAUGGUUCGAUAGUGAAAGAUGGCUUUGCUAUCACUUAUAGAUGGACCUGCGCCGUAUUAGCUAGUUGGUAAGGUAACGGCUUACCAAGGCAACGAUACGUAGCCGACCUGAGAGGGUGAUCGGCCACACUGGAACUGAGACACGGUCCAGACUCCUACGGGAGGCAGCAGUAGGGAAUCUUCCGCAAUGGGCGAAAGCCUGACGGAGCAACGCCGCGUGAGUGAUGAAGGUCUUCGGAUCGUAAAACUCUGUUAUUAGGGAAGAACAAACGUGUAAGUAACUGUGCACGUCCUGACGGUACCUAAUCAGAAAGCCACGGCUAACUACGUG
RNAcentral lists this ribosomal RNA (497 nucleotides) under uncultured bacterium. RNAcentral's name for it is "partial 16S ribosomal RNA". It matches the Rfam family "Bacterial small subunit ribosomal RNA", at positions 28 to 507 of the family's 1533-position model. The record is from RNAcentral.